UGGUUUUUGCUACCCGACCCGUGAUUUGGGAUCUGGGUCCGGAUCUUAGUCCAGAAAAAUGGGCCGGCUAACGCCAUUUUUCCUUUAGUCUUGGUAAAGAUCAUGCUUUGAUUUAUCAGAUUUUGCCUUUGGAAACAUUUAAAUCCCUAUCUAAAUCACUUAGGUAUUUAUACCUUUUCUCUUUCUGGUCAUAUAAUUUGUAACGUUGAUAACUUAUAUGGAUGUAUCCUAAAGAUUCAAAUUAGUAGAUAUAGAUUAAAACAGGCAAAAUUAGAAUUUAACUUGAACUGCUUCAUACCAUCAUCCAAUAUUUUUGGGCGCAGAGAAAUCUUAUGGGUGAUAGAAAAUUGCUUGAUCAUUCAUGUUAACUUUCACUAGAUGAUACACCAUAAUGCAAAAAACGAACUAUAUUUUCAAUACAUCACUUGGCUACUAUCGUAUUACAGCAGGGAAAGAGUUAAAAAGGUGAAUUUAAUAAGUCGCUUUUGUUGGCAGCAGAAGAACGGAUACAUCAAAUUUUCUGAUCUCGCAAGAACUUGUCCAUCGGAAGCUGCAGAGAAUCUUCAUCCCUUUUCCCAGGUCUCACCGCAAUAAGUUAACGUUUGAUUGAAGCCCCAAGUUAUUUCGGCUUUCAUCGAUCCAUCAGCUUAAGAAGAACGGCCUGAGAAGCACACCAAUCUGCUGGUCAAUUUGAGGGAACGCAUGAAGGUAAUUUCUAAAAGACAGAAAGAGAAAUCUUGCCAAAAAUGGCCAUUAAUAAUAAUGUAGAUAUCUGAACAGACUGAAAAUGAUUUCUAUAAAAUCCGAUUGUUGAUUGCUGGUCCACCCGGAAAUCAGCCUUAUUUAUAACAGAAAAAAUGAACCGCAAGAUCUUACACGGUUGUGCAGAUGAAAGCAUGCAAUUUUUUGUGACCGACUUACAGGACAGGACCGAUAAGAUUUCAUUCCCUGAUGUAGUUCAGCAUGCGAGAUUAGAAGCUUCACAGGACGGAAUUCAAGAGAUUGACCAUAGCCUCUGUUGUCGGCAAAGCAAAUAAGCUCACGCUGUAGAAGGUUUUCAAAUGCCUGCAGAAGUAAGAGCAAAAUACUAAGCGUGUUGCAAGAGAAAUUGGGUGGAACACUAACCUUGAGGGUCAGUGGUAACUUGCUAGUCUAAUUUCAUAUGUAGAGUCUAUAGAGCUAGCCAUACCCG
RNAcentral lists this long non-coding RNA (1192 nucleotides) under Carica papaya (papaya). Its description in RNAcentral is "long non-coding RNA (CPAP_LNC008054)". The record is from RNAcentral. Lineage: Eukaryota; Viridiplantae; Streptophyta; Magnoliopsida; Brassicales; Caricaceae.